UACGUAGGGUGCAAGCGUUGUCCGGAAUUAUUAGGCGUAAAGGGCUCGUAGGCGGUUUGUCGCGUCGGGAGUGAAAUCCACUGGCUUAACUGGUGGCUUGCUUUCGAUACGGGCAGACUGGAGGUAUGCAGGGGAGAACGGAAUUCCUGGUGUAGCGGUGAAAUGCGCAGAUAUCAGGAGGAACACCGGUGGCGAAGGCGGUUCUCUGGGCAUGUCCUGACGCUGAGGAGCGAAAGUGUGGGGAGCGAACAGG
Molecule: ribosomal RNA, 253 nt
Filed under: uncultured bacterium
Lineage: Bacteria
Description: partial 16S ribosomal RNA
Rfam family: Bacterial small subunit ribosomal RNA
Source: RNAcentral